Molecule: ribosomal RNA, 700 nt
Filed under: uncultured bacterium
Lineage: Bacteria
Description: bacterial SSU rRNA
Rfam family: Bacterial small subunit ribosomal RNA
Source: RNAcentral
AGUCGAACGGGGAUAUAUUGGAAUGAGGAUUCGUCUGAAGGAAAAUGUAUCUUAGUGGCGGACGGGUGAGUAACGCGUGGGCAACCUACCGUAUACAGGGGGAUAACACUUAGAAAUAGGUGCUAAUACCGCAUAAGCGCACAGCAGUGCAUACUGGAGUGUGAAAAGCCGAGACGGUAUACGAUGGGCCCGCGUCUGAUUAGCCAGUUGGCAGGGUAACGGCCUACCAAAGCGACGAUCAGUAGCCGGCCUGAGAGGGCGGACGGCCACAUUGGGACUGAGACACGGCCCAGACUCCUACGGGAGGCAGCAGUGGGGGAUAUUGCACAAUGGGGGGAACCCUGAUGCAGCGACGCCGCGUGAGUGAAGAAGUAAUUCGUUAUGUAAAGCUCUAUCAGCAGGGAAGAAUAAAUGACGGUACCUGAGUAAGAAGCCCCGGCUAACUACGUGCCAGCAGCCGCGGUAAUACGUAGGGGGCAAGCGUUAUCCGGAUUUACUGGGUGUAAAGGGAGCGUAGACGGCGAUGCAAGCCAGAUGUGAAAGCCCGCGGCUCAACUGCGGUAGUGCAUUUGGAACUGUAUGGCCGGAGUGCAGGAGAGGCAGGCGGAAUUCCUAGUGUAGCGGUGAAAUGCGUAGAUUUUUUGGAGAACACCAGUGGCGAAGGCGGCCUGCUGGACUGUAACUGACGUUGAGGCUCGAA